CCUACGGGGGGCAGCAGUGGGGAAUAUUGGACAAUGGGGGCAACCCUGAUCCAGCCAUGCCGCGUGUGUGAAGAAGGCCCUCGGGUUGUAAAGCACUUUCAGUGAGGAAGAACGCCUGGUGGUUAAUACCCAUCAGGAAAGACAUCACUCACAGAAGAAGCACCGGCUAACUCCGUGCCAGCAGCCGCGGUAAUACGGAGGGUGCGAGCGUUAAUCGGAAUUACUGGGCGUAAAGCGCGCGUAGGUGGCUUGAUAAGCCGGUUGUGAAAGCCCCGGGCUCAACCUGGGAACGGCAUCCGGAACUGUCAAGCUAGAGUGCAGGAGAGGAAGGUAGAAUUCCCGGUGUAGCGGUGAAAUGCGUAGAGAUCGGGAGGAAUACCAGUGGCGAAGGCGGCCUUCUGGACUGACACUGACACUGAGGUGCGAAAGCGUGGGUAGCAAACAGGAUUAGAACCCUAGUAGUC
This 464-nucleotide ribosomal RNA is filed under the name Vreelandella stevensii. Its description in RNAcentral is "partial 16S ribosomal RNA". It matches the Rfam family "Bacterial small subunit ribosomal RNA", at positions 338 to 795 of the family's 1533-position model. The record is from RNAcentral. Lineage: Bacteria; Pseudomonadati; Pseudomonadota; Gammaproteobacteria; Oceanospirillales; Halomonadaceae.